CUUCAUUUUCUUAAAAACCCUAGCAGCAAUUCUUGAUUCCUCUUUUCACUGUCACCGUUCACCUAUUUUACCAUCGUUCUUCAUCAAGGCAGGUUCGCCGGCUAUCCCCCACGACCCCAUCGUAAUUCUGUUCGUAGUCAUCGUCGUUGGAGCGGGUUAUCAUGAAACCUACGAGCUUUAACUCACAAUACCGCCCCUAGCACCGCCAUGUUCGAUUGCUUAUGGUCGUGGGUGGUCAGGAUUUUAUCGGGGAAGGCUCAGUUGGCCUGGGUCGCGGUCGACAACUUGGUUUGGUUGGGGAACCCUCUUCGUCGGUUCCUUUUGGGGUGUUGCCGCCAUUGCCGUGUGGUGGACGGCCGUUUAAGGUUAUGGUAAGGCUGGCCGUGACAUCCCCGACCCAGGAGACUACUACCGAUAAAGUUUCGUUGCUGAAAGCCUUGUUUAAGUGAAAUUAUGAACCGAGAACUGAGUAACCGUCUCCUCCUUCAUUGACCACAAACUUCGAACCGAACCGUAUAGCUCGUGUCAACCGCACUGAUUCGGAUCGAUCUACAGCUCAAGCUAACGGUGGUAGAGGUUAUUACCGUCUCAAGCUAUCUCUCGAGGUUGGAAUUAUGAGAUGUUCGUACAAAAUAUAUGAUUGCAUGAAAAUAUCAUGAAUCGGAUUACAUGCUACGUAAUAAAUAUAUACUUUAGAAUUAAUAUAUGCCUUGGAAAUAUUUGUUAGCCGGUUCGAAACAGACAUUAGAUAUUAUGUCAUUUUGCAUAUCAUAUUAGGAAGAAUAUUGAUUGGGGAAGUUCAGUGCAUUCACUCAAUGGGGUGAAUGGCACUUUUUCAGAUUCAGUGGCCUCUACCUUUGUGGCAUACCCCUUAUAUGGUGUAUGAGUUGGAAUUAGUGUUGUUCUGGGGAACCCACUCUUCUAGGUGUGAUAGGAG
Long non-coding RNA from Hibiscus syriacus, 937 nucleotides. RefSeq lists it as uncharacterized. NCBI's taxonomy places the organism in Eukaryota, Viridiplantae, Streptophyta, Magnoliopsida, Malvales, Malvaceae. The record is from RefSeq and is a predicted model, not a curated record. The transcript is spliced from 3 exons.